RNAcentral lists this ribosomal RNA (253 nucleotides) under uncultured bacterium. RNAcentral describes it as "partial 16S ribosomal RNA". It matches the Rfam family "Bacterial small subunit ribosomal RNA", at positions 524 to 776 of the family's 1533-position model. The record is from RNAcentral.
UACGUAGGCAGCGAGCGUUGUUCGGAGUUACUGGGCGUAAAGGGUGUGUAGGCGGUUGUUUAAGUUUGGUGUGAAAUCUCCCGGCUCAACUGGGAGGGUGCGCCGAAGACUGGAAGGCUUGAGUAUGGGAGAGGUAAGUGGAAUACCUGGUGUAGUGGUGAAAUACGUAGAUAUCAGGUGGAACAUCAGUGGCGAAGGCGGCUUACUGGUCCAGUACUGACACUGAGAUGCGAAAGCAUGGGGAUCAAACAGG